RNAcentral lists this ribosomal RNA (630 nucleotides) under uncultured bacterium. Its description in RNAcentral is "bacterial SSU rRNA". It matches the Rfam family "Bacterial small subunit ribosomal RNA", at positions 56 to 732 of the family's 1533-position model. The record is from RNAcentral.
UGCAAGUCGAGCGGGCCUUUCGGGGUCAGCGGCGGACGGGUGAGUAACGCGUGGGAACGUGCCCUCUGGUUCGGAAUAACUCAGGGAAACUUGAGCUAAUACCGGAUACGCCCUUUUGGGGAAAGGCUUGCUGCCGGAGGAUCGGCCCGCGUCUGAUUAGCUAGUUGGUGAGGUAACGGCUCACCAAGGCGACGAUCAGUAGCUGGUCUGAGAGGAUGAUCAGCCACACUGGGACUGAGACACGGCCCAGACUCCUACGGGAGGCAGCAGUGGGGAAUAUUGGACAAUGGGCGCAAGCCUGAUCCAGCCAUGCCGCGUGAGUGAUGAAGGCCUUAGGGUUGUAAAGCUCUUUUAUCCGGGACGAUAAUGACGGUACCGGAGGAAUAAGCCCCGGCUAACUUCGUGCCAGCAGCCGCGGUAAUGCGAAGGGGGCUAGCGUUGCUCGGAAUCACUGGGCGUAAAGGGCGCGUAGGCGGCGUUUUAAGUCGGGGGUGAAAGCCUGUGGCUCAACCACAGAAUGGCCUUCGAUACUGGGACGCUUGAGUAUGGUAGAGGUUGGUGGAACUGCGAGUGUAGAGGUGAAAUUCGUAGAUAUUCGCAAGAACACCGGUGGCGAAGGCGGCCAACUGG